UGAAUAAGAAGCAAAGUUGCUUCUCUUGUAGUCCCAAAAAGAAAAAAUUUAAUAAAACCAAUGCUGUCGUAUGGAAGAGACAGUCAAGUAGUACAGUGGCAUCAUAGGUCAUUUAUCUUUAACUUUUGAAGAAACUUAUAAGAUUUUACA
Molecule: long non-coding RNA, 150 nt
Organism: Juglans microcarpa x Juglans regia
Lineage: Eukaryota; Viridiplantae; Streptophyta; Magnoliopsida; Fagales; Juglandaceae
Exons: 3
Source: RefSeq, a predicted model, not a curated record